RNAcentral lists this transfer RNA (61 nucleotides) under Gyraulus laevis. RNAcentral's name for it is "tRNA-Ala". Lineage: Eukaryota; Metazoa; Mollusca; Gastropoda; Planorbidae. The record is from RNAcentral.
GUAAAUAUAGUUUAUAUAGAAUUUUUAGUUUGCAACUAAGCGGAGAAUUUUUCUCUUUACA